AAUAGAUACCCGGGUAGUCCACGCCGUAAACGAUGAGUGCUAAGUGUUAGGGGGGUUUCCGCCCCUUAGUGCUGCAGCUAACGCAUUAAGCACUCCGCCUGGGGAGUACGGUCGCAAGACUGAAACUCAAAGGAAUUGACGGGGGCCCGCACAAGCGGUGGAGCAUGUGGUUUAAUUCGAAGCAACGCGAAGAACCUUACCAGGUCUUGACAUCCCGCUGACCGCUAUGGAGACAUAGCCUUCCCUUCGGGGACAGCGGUGACAGGUGGUGCAUGGUUGUCGUCAGCUCGUGCCGUGAGAUGUUGGGUUAAGUCCCGCAACGAGCGCAACCCUUGAGAUUAGUUGCCAUCAUUCAGUUGGGCACUCUAAUCUGACUGCCGGUGAUAAACCGGAGGAAGGUGGGGAUGACGUCAAAUCAUCAUGCCCCUUAUGACCUGGGCUACACACGUGCUACAAUGGACGGUACAAACGGUUGCCAGCCCGCGAGGGGGGANCCGAAUCCGAUAAAACCGUUCUCAGUUCGGAUUGUAGGCUGCAACUCG
Molecule: ribosomal RNA, 542 nt
Filed under: uncultured bacterium
Lineage: Bacteria
Description: bacterial SSU rRNA
Rfam family: Bacterial small subunit ribosomal RNA
Source: RNAcentral